MicroRNA precursor from Oryza sativa Indica Group (long-grained rice), 186 nucleotides. It matches the Rfam family "MIR812 microRNA precursor family". Lineage: Eukaryota; Viridiplantae; Streptophyta; Magnoliopsida; Poales; Poaceae. The record is from Rfam.
AAAAACUUAAUUCUUAAGUGUUCGUGUAUAAUGUUUGACCGUCUGUUCUAUAUGAAAUUUUUUUUUAUGAUUAGUAUUUUUAUUAUUGUUAGAUAGUAAAAUAUGAAUAAUACUUUAUACAUAACUUAUCUUUUUAAAUUUUUUUAAAUAAGACGGAUGGUCAAAUAAUAAAAACGGAAACCCAGG